Molecule: long non-coding RNA, 632 nt
Filed under: Citrus x clementina
Lineage: Eukaryota; Viridiplantae; Streptophyta; Magnoliopsida; Sapindales; Rutaceae
Description: Citrus clementina (C. clementina) long non-coding RNA (CCLE_LNC000091)
Source: RNAcentral
AACCCGAGCACAAGCAGCAGCCAAACACGAGCACAACCAGCAGCCAAACGCGAGCACAACCAGCAGCCAAAAGCGAGCACAACCAGCAACUAAACGCGAGCACAACCAGCAGCCAAAAGCGAGCACAACCAGCAACCAAACGCGAGCACAACCAGCAGCCAAACGCGAGCACAAGUAGCAGCCAAACGCGAGCAAUUCCAGCAGCCAAACGCGAGCAGUUCCAACAUCCAAACGCGAGAUUUCAGCAGUUCCAACAGCACAAGUAGCAGCCAAACGUCGAUCGACAGCAGAUCCGGCAACUAGACUCGGUCUCGAUCCACGCACGAGCAGUUCCAGCAGCUUCCGGUAGCGUGAGCAGCAACUUCCGGCAGCCCCAGCAGCGUUCGGCGAGGCAAACCGUGAGUGUGUUAAAAGAUUUGUCUGAAAUCAGUGUGUGUGUGUGUGGGGUUUGUUUGUGUGUGUGAUGCGUGUGUGGGUUUUUAGUCAAUUCACUUGUUUUUAAUUUGUAAUUACGAUUUUAACCUUUUAAUGAUUUAACGGAACGAUUUUCGUUAGUCAAUUGGGGUUUGAGUGUCUUUUUUGAAACAUUAAGGGGUUUUAUGUCCCUUAUUCAAACGUUAGGGGUGUCUGUG